CCUACGGGGAGCUGCAGUGAGGAAUAUUGGUCAAUGGCCGGAAGGCUGAACCAGCCAUGCCGCGUGAAGGUCAGUGCCCUAUGGGCGUUAAACUUCUUUUGUGCGGGAGCAAUAAUGGUCACGUGUGGCCAGACGAGAGUACCGUACGAAUAAGCAUGGGCGAACUCCGUGCCAGCAGACGCGGUAAUACGGGGGAUGCAAGCGUUAUCCGGGUUUAUGGGGUUUAAAGGGUGCGUAGGCUGUGAGGUAAGUCAGCGGUGAAAUGCCCCCGCUCAACGGGGUGAAGUGCCAUUGAUACUGCCUUGCUGGAAUGCGGAUGCCGUGGGAGGAAUGUGUGGUGUAGCGGUGAAAUGCAUAGAUAUCACACAGAACACCGAUUGCGACGGCAUCUCACGAAUCCGCGAUUGACGCUGAUGCACGAAAGCGUGGGUAUCAAACAGGAUUAGAUACCCCGGUAGUC
Molecule: ribosomal RNA, 460 nt
Filed under: uncultured bacterium
Lineage: Bacteria
Description: partial 16S ribosomal RNA
Rfam family: Bacterial small subunit ribosomal RNA
Source: RNAcentral